CCCACUAUAGUCUAGUGGUAACACACCCGCUCCGACAUGAAACUCGGAAGCGGACCGAUGGGGGUUCGAUUCCCUCAAGUGACA
This is a non-coding RNA of Mycena alexandri, 84 nucleotides long. The record is from the annotation of a GenBank genome assembly. NCBI's taxonomy places the organism in Eukaryota, Fungi, Basidiomycota, Agaricomycetes, Agaricales, Mycenaceae.